RNAcentral lists this ribosomal RNA (1121 nucleotides) under Candidatus Phytoplasma citri. RNAcentral describes it as "bacterial SSU rRNA". It matches the Rfam family "Bacterial small subunit ribosomal RNA", at positions 202 to 1335 of the family's 1533-position model. The record is from RNAcentral. Lineage: Bacteria; Bacillati; Mycoplasmatota; Mollicutes; Acholeplasmatales; Acholeplasmataceae.
GUGAUAGGUAUACUUUAGGAGGGGCUUGCGCCAUAUUAGUUAGUUGGUAGGGUAAUGGCCUACCAAGACGAUGAUGUGUAGCUGGACUGAGAGGUUGAACAGCCACAUUGGGACUGAGACACGGCCCAAACUCCUACGGGAGGCAGCAGUAGGGAAUUUUCGGCAAUGGAGGAAACUCUGACCGAGCAACGCCGCGUGAACGACGAAGUACUUUGGUAUGUAAAGUUCUUUUAUCAAGGAAGAAAAGCAAGUGGUGAACCAUUUGUUUGCCGGUACUUGAUGAAUAAGCCCCGGCUAAUUAUGUGCCAGCAGCCGCGGUAAGACAUAAGGGGCAAGUGUUAUCCGGAAUUAUUGGGCGUAAAGGGUGCGUAGGCGGUCUAGUAAGUCAGUGGUGUAAUGGCAACGCUCAACGUUGUCCGGCUAUUGAAACUGCUAAACUUGAGUUAGAUAGAGGCGAGUGGAAUUCCAUGUGUAGCGGUAAAAUGCGUAAAUAUAUGGAGGAACACCAGAGGCGUAGGCGGCUCGCUGGGUCUUAACUGACGCUGAGGCACGAAAGCGUGGGGAGCAAACAGGAUUAGAUACCCUGGUAGUCCACGCCGUAAACGAUGAGUACUAAGUGUCGGGUUAAACCGGUACUGAAGUUAACACAUUAAGUACUCCGCCUGAGUAGUACGUACGCAAGUAUGAAACUUAAAGGAAUUGACGGGACUCCGCACAAGCGGUGGAUCAUGUUGUUUAAUUCGAAGAUACCCGAAAAACCUUACCAGGUCUUGACAUGUUUUUGCGAAACGGUAGUAAUAUCGUGGAGGUUAUCAGAAACACAGGUGGUGCAUGGUUGUCGUCAGCUCGUGUCGUGAGAUGUUAGGUUAAGUCCUAAAACGAGCGAAACCCUUAUCGUUAGUUGCCAGCACGUUAUGGUGGGGACUUUAACGAGACUGCCAGUGAUAAAUUGGAGGAAGGUGAGGAUCACGUCAAAUCAGCAUGCCCCUUAUGACCUGGGCUACAAACGUGAUACAAUGGCUGUUACAAAGGGUAGCUGAAACGCAAGUUCUUGGCCAAUCCCCAAAAACAGUCUCAGUCCGGAUUGAAGUCUGCAACUCGACUUCAUGAAGUGGAAUCGC